CUGCCUACGGGACGCAGCAGUAGGGAAUUUUCGUCAAUGGGCGCAAGCCUGAACGAGCAAUGCCGCGUGAACGAGGAAGGUCUUCGGAUCGUAAAGUUCUGUUGAAGGGGAAAAAGAGCGGAGAGAGGAAAUGAACUCCGAUUGAUAUUACCCUUCGAGGAAGUCACGGCUAACUACGUGCCAGCAGCCGCGGUAAUACGUAGGGGGCGAGCGUUGUCCGGAAUCACUGGGCGUAAAGGGCGCGUAGGCGGUAAUAUAAGUCAGAUGUGAAAGGUGGGGGCUCAACCCCUAGAGUGCAACU
Molecule: ribosomal RNA, 301 nt
Filed under: uncultured bacterium
Lineage: Bacteria
Description: bacterial SSU rRNA
Rfam family: Bacterial small subunit ribosomal RNA
Source: RNAcentral